CUAAGAAUAUUCCGCAAUGGACGAAAGUCUGACGGAGCGACGCCGCGUGAGGGAAGACGGUUUUCGGAUUGUAAACCUCUGUCUUUGGUGACGAAACAAAUGACGGUAGCCAAGGAGGAAGCCACGGCUACCUACGUGCCAGCAGCCGCGGUAAUACGUAGGUGGCGAGCGUUGUCCGGAAUUACUGGGUGUAAAGGGAGCGCAGGCGGGGAGACAAGUCAGCUGUGAAACCUAGCGGCUUAACUGAUAGAGUGCAGUUGAAACUGUUUUUCUUGAGUGGAGCAGAGGCAGGCGGAAGUCCGAGUGUAGCGGUGAAAUGCGUAGAGAUGCGGAGGAACACCAGUGGCGAAGGCGGCCUGCUGGGCUUUAACUGACGCUGAGGCUCGAAAGUGUGGGGAGCAAACA
This 405-nucleotide ribosomal RNA is filed under the name uncultured prokaryote. RNAcentral's name for it is "bacterial SSU rRNA". It matches the Rfam family "Bacterial small subunit ribosomal RNA", at positions 355 to 774 of the family's 1533-position model. The record is from RNAcentral.